Molecule: ribosomal RNA, 686 nt
Filed under: uncultured Inocybe
Lineage: Eukaryota; Fungi; Basidiomycota; Agaricomycetes; Agaricales; Cortinariaceae
Description: eukaryotic LSU rRNA
Rfam family: 5.8S ribosomal RNA (bases 282-435)
Source: RNAcentral
AUUAUCGAAUAAACUUGAACAGGCUGUUUUUUUGCUGGCCCUUGAAAGAGGGCAUGUGCACGCUUGUCCAUCUUUGUCAUUUCUCCAAACUGUGCACAUACUGUAGACCUGGGGGGAGCAUUAUGAAUGAAUUUCCAUUCGAGUUGGGGAUUGCUGUGCUUUACAAAAGAAAAAAGUCGGCUUUCCCUUGUAUUUUUUCAGGUCUAUGUUGUUUUUCACAACCUCUAUAACGUGUUUAGAAUGUUGAAUCAAGGUCUUUGUACCUAUAUAAAAGUUAAUACAACUUUCAGCAACGGAUCUCUUGGCUCUCGCAUCGAUGAAGAACGCAGCGAAAUGCGAUAAGUAAUGUGAAUUGCAGAAUUCAGUGAAUCAUCGAAUCUUUGAACGCAUCUUGCGCUCCUUGGUAUUCCGAGGAGCAUGCCUGUUUGAGUGUCAUUUGACCUUCUCAACCACAUCGUUCUUGUUUUGAAUGUGUGUGGCUUGGAUGUGGGGGGAAUAAUUUUAUUUUUUGCAGGCUUCAAAUCAAGAAGCCAGCUCCCCUGAAAUGAAUUAGUGGUGUCUGAGCUGCUAUUGGUGUGAUAAAUUAUCUAUGCCUUUGGUGAUGCUGGUCAGCACCGCUUAUAACGGACGGCGAUCAUUUGACAAAUUUGACCUCAAAUCAGGUAGGACUACCCGCUGAACCUUAA